This 69-nucleotide transfer RNA is filed under the name Agrilus planipennis (emerald ash borer). It matches the Rfam family "tRNA". From Rfam's summary of the family: Transfer RNA (tRNA) molecules are approximately 80 nucleotides in length. The record is from Rfam by way of RNAcentral. Lineage: Eukaryota; Metazoa; Arthropoda; Insecta; Coleoptera; Buprestidae.
CCUUUCGCAGCUUAGUGGUAGAGAACUAGUGUGUAAAAUUAGAGGCCCGGGUUCGAUUCCCGGCGAGGA